ACCAAAGACAACUCUCAACAACGGAUAUCUUGGCUCCCGUAUCGAUGAAGAACGCAGCGAAAUGCGAUACGUAGUGUGAAUUGCAGAUAAUGUGAAUCAUCGAAUCUUUGAACGCAAAUUGCA
RNAcentral lists this ribosomal RNA (123 nucleotides) under chlorobiont of Peltigera britannica Rikkinen 98A16. RNAcentral describes it as "5.8S ribosomal RNA". It matches the Rfam family "5.8S ribosomal RNA", at positions 1 to 115 of the family's 154-position model. Rfam says of the family: 5.8S ribosomal RNA (5.8S rRNA) is a component of the large subunit of the eukaryotic ribosome. It is transcribed by RNA polymerase I as part of the 45S precursor that also contains 18S and 28S rRNA. The record is from RNAcentral. Lineage: Eukaryota; Viridiplantae; Chlorophyta; Trebouxiophyceae.